CGAUAGUGUAUAUUAGAGUUGUUGCUGUUAAAACGCUCGUAGUUGGAUUCGGAUCGGUGCUGUAUAAGGGCCCCAAGAGGGUGGAUGGCUGCUUCUAGGAGCGAUGGCGCCGCACUCUUUGGGGAUAAACCCUUGUACGCCAGGCACUGUAUCAAGACACAUGGAAACGAUCUCCUGCGGAAGCCUACUUUACUGUACGGUGAAAGCAACAACGCAUCAAGAAUGUGUAUACGGAGCGUCCAUGGUUGUUACUGUGAACAAAUCAGCGUGACCAAAGCAACCGACUUGUUCGGCUGCAUGUCAUAGCAUGGCACAACAACACAUUCGACCUUCGGUCAGUGAUUUGUUAGUCUUGUUCGUACCCUACUGGGGCGAAUCCAGGAUGGCGUUCUCGCUUUGCCUGUGUUCUAACUUCGGUUGUUUUCGUCUUGCCAUUGUUGGGUAACCCGACUCCGACCGGGACUCAAGAGAGCUUGACGGUGGGAGUACGUAUUGC
Molecule: ribosomal RNA, 496 nt
Filed under: uncultured eukaryote
Lineage: Eukaryota
Description: partial 18S ribosomal RNA
Rfam family: Eukaryotic small subunit ribosomal RNA
Source: RNAcentral